GAUGAACGCUGGCGGCGUGCUUAACACAUGCAAGUCGAACGAGAAGUGAAGACGGAACCCUUCGGGCGGAAGGCUUUAUUUCGAGUGGCGGACGGGUGAGUAACGCGUGGGUAACCUGCCUCAUACAGGGGGAUACAGUUGGAAACGACUGUUAAUACCGCAUAAGACCACAGCACCGCAUGGUUCGGGGGUAAAAACUCCGGUGGUAUGAGAUGGACCCGCGUUCGAUUAGCCAGUUGGCGGGGUAACGGCCCACCAAAGCGACGAUCGAUAGCCGAUCUGAGAGGAUGACCGGCCACAUUGGGACUGAGACACGGCCCAAACUCCUACGGGAGGCAGCAGUGGGGAAUAUUGCACAAUGGGGGAAACCCUGAUGCAGCGACGCCGCGUGAGUGAAGAAGUAUUUCGGUAUGUAAAGCUCUAUCAGCAGGGAAGAAAAUGACGGUACCUGAGUAAGAAGCCCCGGCUAACUACGUG
RNAcentral lists this ribosomal RNA (477 nucleotides) under uncultured bacterium. Its description in RNAcentral is "partial 16S ribosomal RNA". It matches the Rfam family "Bacterial small subunit ribosomal RNA", at positions 28 to 507 of the family's 1533-position model. The record is from RNAcentral.